This is a long non-coding RNA of Mauremys reevesii (Reeves's turtle), 1022 nucleotides long. RefSeq lists it as uncharacterized. The record is from RefSeq and is a predicted model, not a curated record. Lineage: Eukaryota; Metazoa; Chordata; Testudines; Geoemydidae. The transcript is spliced from 3 exons.
CCUAUGGAGGAAGCUCACUCUCAAGUGAAACUCCCAGUAUGUGAAUCCAGGGAGCAAGAGUAGAAGCCACUGCUAGGAAAGGCCAUAGGAAAGAGAGAGUUUUAGAAAGAAAGUGUGAUGUUUGUGGAAGAGAGCUGGGAGAUUUGAAUGAUGUUUUGUUAAUAAACCAGGAAGGGAAUGUUGCAUGUGCUGGGUGAUUCUGUGUAUUUGUGGGGAGCCCAAGAAAGGGUAAAAAGACCAUAGUAUUUUGCUUUAGGUACUCAGAAAAAAAUAUCUUGUUUUAAGAAUUCUGGAGGGGGCUACAUCUAGACAGAAGAAUGGCUGCUUGAAGACUGAUAAGUUCUUCAUCAGUUUGACAAAAGGAGCUUUCUAUAGCACCUACUGUUGCUUUGUGAACCAGUGAGAAUCACUGACCUAAGAAAUCUCCUGCUUUAACCGAAGGUACACAGGAAGAGGAGCUUAGCUACCACAAGUAGAAGCAUGACAUACAAUAAGAUAAGUAGAGAGGGAUAGCAGCUGACUAGGAGCCAUCAUAAUGGCAGCAUGAUUCAGGAAUGUCGUUAUAUGGAAGGCCCACAAUAAAACCCUAAGCCAAGCCACUUUGGGUUCCCUGAACUUCUGUUUGUGAGGUAGGGAGAAGGAGGGAGCAGCUGUCCCUUUAUGAACACGGUGGAAUAGGAGAAGGAUUGAAGAUGCUCCACCUGAACCGUCUCAAAAUUCUUCAAAGAGCACUACACUGUCAUGUGAAAAAACAACAGCACUUAUCCUUACCCUGAUUUUCAAGACACAAAAGCAUAACCUUUUAUAAAGUCUAUAAGCCUGCUAAGGGACCCAGUGUUGAGCAAGGGGUUGUGAGUCAGGACUCCAGAGACCUAUGCCCAGCUCUACCAAUGAUGCGCUCUUCAGUCCAAUUUAAAUCAGUGUUAAUACUACCAGUGACCUGUUAAAAGUCAUAUAACCAUUCUGUGCCUCAGCUUACCUACAUGAAAAAUAAAGAUAGUAAUGCUAAUCUACCACUUAAG